Molecule: ribosomal RNA, 450 nt
Filed under: uncultured prokaryote
Description: bacterial SSU rRNA
Rfam family: Bacterial small subunit ribosomal RNA
Source: RNAcentral
UGAGGAAUUUUGCGCAAUGGGCGAAAGCCUGACGCAGCGACGCCGCGUGGAGGAGGAAGGUCUUCGGAUCGUAAACUCCUGUCAAGAGGGACGAAUCCGGUAAGGAUGAAUAAGUCUUGCCGUUGACGGUACCUCUGAAGGAAGCCCCGGCUAACUCCGUGCCAGCAGCCGCGGUAAUACGGAGGGGGCUAGCGUUGUUCGGAAUUAUUGGGCGUAAAGGGCGCGUAGGCGGCCCGGCAAGUCAGUCGUGAAAGCCCUCGGCUCAACCGAGGAAUUGCGAUUGAAACUGCCGAGCUUGAGUCCUGGAGAGGGUAGCGGAAUUCCCAGUGUAGCGGUGAAAUGCGUAGAUAUUGGGAGGAACACCCGUGGCGAAGGCGGCUACCUGGACAGGUACUGACGCUGAGGCGCGAAAGCGUGGGGAGCAAACAGGAUUAGAUACCCCCGUAGUCC